UCUAGACACUAGACAUUACAUUCCUCCAUUGUUAACCUUGUGAACACGUAUACUGACUCUCACGCCUGAGCUAUCCCCCGACGGAACAGCCGUCAAGCUUGUGGUGUUUAUCGUGUUUACUGUGCAGGAUCAGGGCGUCUUACGUGAUUGGGACGUGACAGAAGAUCUUGGCGUUAACAUUGGCGCUAGAAGGAGGGGCUUUUUUUUUAGUGUUCUUAAGUUAUCAAUCACAAUAUUUCCAGUUGUUCUACAUCGAAAGUUAUAGCAUAAAUCAGGGGGUUCUCGUUCGAGAACCCACGGUGAAGCCCGAAGAUGGUUGGUCUUUGCUGAUGACAAGGAGUGUGAUCAUGGCCAAAGGCGAGUAAAAGGCACUCCACCUAGAACUCGGCACCGAAGUGGUCAGGCUGAUGAAGAUGGUGGACGAAGCAGAUAGAGCUUUGGAGGUUCUCUUGGGGCAAAGCGAGGAUGUAGCUGUGCGAAGCGAGGAUGUAGCUGUGCAGAGCAAGGAUAUAGUUGUGCAGAUUCUUCGGAUUGCCAAGCUGAGGGACAAAGCAUUCAAUUAUAACCAGUCUGAAAGAUGUGGUACGCCUAAAGAUGGACAACCGUGAGUUGGAAAGCAGUUUAUACACUUUGAGGACGUAUCUUAAGGUGAUCCUCAUGACCAAAGAAGACCAAAGAACCAUAUUCCUAAGCAUCCGAAGAGGGUUUCCCGCCCUAUUUGUCUUCGGGAUCAUGGUCGAAGCAGAGUAGAUGAAGACCCAACAGCCAUUUUUCUGAUUGACCGAAGAGGGUAUCCCGCCCUAUUUGUCUUCGGGAUCAUGGUCGAAGCAGAGUAGAUGAAGACCCAACAGCCAUUUUUCUGAUUGAUCGAAGAUGGUAUUCUGCCCUAUUUGUCUUCGGGAUUAUGGUCGGAGUAGAUCCAGAAGCCAUAUUCCUAAGAAUCCACUGAGGGCACACCGCCCUGUAGACACUUGUCUUCGGAGAUGCCCGUUUAAGGCUGUCAGGUUCAGAUUCAGCACACAAAAUGCACCUAUAUUCCUAAACAUCCGAAGAAGGUACCUCAUCCUAGGGGUUCUCGGGACUAUGGCGCAGGCAGACAAAAGAGCAGCACAGGAGGAUAUUCACCC
Molecule: long non-coding RNA, 1127 nt
Filed under: Panax ginseng (ginseng)
Lineage: Eukaryota; Viridiplantae; Streptophyta; Magnoliopsida; Apiales; Araliaceae
Description: long non-coding RNA (PGIN_LNC007891)
Source: RNAcentral